RNAcentral lists this ribosomal RNA (513 nucleotides) under uncultured bacterium. RNAcentral describes it as "bacterial SSU rRNA". It matches the Rfam family "Bacterial small subunit ribosomal RNA", at positions 501 to 1016 of the family's 1533-position model. The record is from RNAcentral.
CUACGUGCCAGCAGCCGCGGUAAUACGGAAGGUCCGGGCGUUAUCCGGAUUUAUUGGGUUUAAAGGGAGCGUAGGCUGGAGAUUAAGUGUGUUGUGAAAUGUAGACGCUCAACGUCUGACUUGCAGCGCAUACUGGUUUCCUUGAGUACGCACAACGUUGGCGGAAUUCGUCGUGUAGCGGUGAAAUGCUUAGAUAUGACGAAGAACUCCGAUUGCGAAGGCAGCUGACGGGAGCGCAACUGACGCUGAAGCUCGAAGGUGCGGGUAUCGAACAGGAUUAGAUACCCUGGUAGUCCGCACAGUAAACGAUGGAUGCCCGCUGUUGGUACCUGGUACCAGCGGCUAAGCGAAAGCAUUAAGCAUCCCACCUGGGGAGUACGCCGGCAACGGUGAAACUCAAAGGAAUUGACGGGGGCCCGCACAAGCGGAGGAACAUGUGGUUUAAUUCGAAGCAACGCGAAGAACCUUACCAGGUCUUGACAUCCCUCUGACCUCUCUAGAGAUAGAGAUUUC